Molecule: non-coding RNA, 229 nt
Filed under: Clostridium sp.
Lineage: Bacteria; Bacillati; Bacillota; Clostridia; Eubacteriales; Clostridiaceae
Description: T-box sequence
Rfam family: T-box leader
About the family: Uncharged tRNA acts as the effector for transcription antitermination of genes in the T-box leader family. T-boxes are found upstream of many aminoacyl-tRNA synthetase genes and some amino acid biosynthetic genes usually in Gram-positive bacteria.
Source: RNAcentral
AAAAAUGGUAUAAAAAGAAGUAGUACACAAAAAUACAGCUUUUCAGAGAGAAACGAAAAAGGUGGAAGCGUUUUAAGUAUGAUUUGUGGAAGCAGUCUUUUUUGCAAUAAAAGUUGUAAACAGCAGGGCGGAAAAUUGUAGUAUGUCCUGACGUAACACCUGCGUUAAAGGGAUAGAGAGAUGCUUUUGCAUAAUAAGGGUGGUACCACGAGAAAUUCCCGUCCCUGAC